CCUCCGCCUAAAGCGGCAGGAGCUGAAGGACCCCAGCGAGGACGAGCCCAACAUCCGGGUGGUCCUGGAGCAUCGCUUCUACAAGGAGAAGAGCAAGAGCGUGAAGCAGAUGUGCGACAAGUGCAGCACCAUCAUCUGGGGCCUCAUCCAGACCUGGUACACCUGCACAGGCUGCUACUACCGGUGCCACAGCAAGUGCCUGCCGCUGGUGAGCAAGGCGGGCGGGCG
This is a long non-coding RNA of Egretta garzetta (little egret), 228 nucleotides long. RefSeq lists it as uncharacterized. NCBI's taxonomy places the organism in Eukaryota, Metazoa, Chordata, Aves, Pelecaniformes, Ardeidae. The transcript has 3 exons. The record is from RefSeq and is a predicted model, not a curated record.